CAGUAGCCGCGGGAAUACGAAGGGUGCAAGCGUUAAUCGGAAUUACUGGGCGUAAAGCGUGCGUAGGCGGCUUCUUAAGUCGGAUGUGAAAUCCCUGAGCUUAACUUAGGAAUUGCAUUCGAUACUGGGAAGCUAGAGUAUGGGAGAGGAUGGUAGAAUUCCAGGUGUAGCGGUGAAAUGCGUAGAGAUCUGGAGGAAUACCGAUGGCGAAGGCAGCCAUCUGGCCUAAUACUGACGCUGAGGUACGAAAGCAUGGGGAGCAAACAGGAUUAGAUACCCCGGUAGUCCCUGUCUCUUAUAC
Molecule: ribosomal RNA, 301 nt
Filed under: uncultured bacterium
Lineage: Bacteria
Description: partial 16S ribosomal RNA
Rfam family: Bacterial small subunit ribosomal RNA
Source: RNAcentral